GGAUGCGAUCAUACCAGCACUAAAGCACCGGAUCCCAUCAGAACUUCGUAGUUAAGCAUGCUUGGGCGAGAGUAGUACUAGGAUGGGUGACCUCCUGGGAAGUCCUCGUGUUGCAUUCC
This 119-nucleotide ribosomal RNA is filed under the name Aegilops tauschii subsp. strangulata. The record is from RNAcentral. Lineage: Eukaryota; Viridiplantae; Streptophyta; Magnoliopsida; Poales; Poaceae.